This is a long non-coding RNA of Strongylocentrotus purpuratus (purple sea urchin), 483 nucleotides long. RefSeq lists it as uncharacterized. The record is from RefSeq and is a predicted model, not a curated record. The transcript has 2 exons. NCBI's taxonomy places the organism in Eukaryota, Metazoa, Echinodermata, Echinoidea, Camarodonta, Strongylocentrotidae.
UUUUAGGAGAGUACAAGAACCAUAUUCUUGUACUGUUAUUCCUUCUACUUUUAAAUAUUGUAUUCUUCGCCUGGUUGUCACCCUCCCUGAACAGAUAUCGGUCGCCCUGUUCAGCCCCUUAAAAGUCCUACUGUAUUAGACGAUCGGAACUGGUUUAGACUGUCCCCCCUGUUACCAAGGCAACGUUCUCCGCCCUGGCCAUAGAUGAACAGAAGGAUUGAUAGUUUUAUACCUCAAGAUAAUUAUAGUCCCUUUCUUUUAAACCUUGUAUAGUUAUUGUAUAUGUUAAGAGUUUUCACUGUAAGUUUGUGAAGCCUUGCAUGUCGGCUAAAGAUUCCGCUGAUAUAUAUAACUGUUAUAUGGUUACCAAUACAUGUUUUUUUAUGUAUUAUACUUAUUAAUUGGAUGAGUGAUAUUUUGUAGCUUAACCUACCUUUGAGGUUAAGUGUUAAUAAAUCCUUUCUUUUGGAUCUUUCACUCAAA